This is a long non-coding RNA of Dermochelys coriacea (leatherback sea turtle), 225 nucleotides long. RefSeq lists it as uncharacterized. Lineage: Eukaryota; Metazoa; Chordata; Testudines; Dermochelyidae. The record is from RefSeq and is a predicted model, not a curated record. The transcript has 2 exons.
GCCAAUUCUCCACAUUAUUCCCACUAAAGCCAGCCCUAAUGACAUUUCUGUAACACUGGAACUGUCACAGUGCCUCAUGCAAUGCACUAUAUUUUAACUUUCUUAGAUGACAUGGAGAUGCCAUACUAUCCCUUUGCAGAAAAAUUAUUUCAGCUUGCAGAAAUUCAACCAUAAUGGUUUUUAAGUACAUUUAUUUUUUGCUUAUUCACUAUUGCAACAAUUCAC